GACGAACGCUGGCGGCGUGCCUAAUACAUGCAAGUAGAACGCACAGUUUAUACCGUAGCUUGCUACACCAUAGACUGUGAGUUGCGAACGGGUGAGUAACGCGUAGGUAACCUGCCUGGUAGCGGGGGAUAACUAUUGGAAACGAUAGCUAAUACCGCAUAAUAUUAAUUAUUGCAUGAUAAUUAAUUGAAAGGUGCAAUUGCACCACUACCAGAUGGCCCUGCGUUGUAUUAGCUAGUAGGUGAGGUAACGGCUCACCUAGGCGACGAUACAUAUCCGACCUGGGAGGGUGAUCGGCCAAACUGGGACUGAGACACGGCCCAGACUCCUACGGGAGGCAGCAGUAGGGAAUCUUCGGCAAUGGACGAAAGUCUGACCGAGCAACGCCGCGUGAGUGAAGAAGGUUUUCGGAUCGUAAAGCUCUGUUGUAAGAGAAGAACGGGUGUGAGAGUGGAAAGUUCACACUGUGACGGUAUCUUACCAGAAAGGGACGGCUAACUACGUG
This 505-nucleotide ribosomal RNA is filed under the name uncultured bacterium. RNAcentral's name for it is "partial 16S ribosomal RNA". It matches the Rfam family "Bacterial small subunit ribosomal RNA", at positions 28 to 507 of the family's 1533-position model. The record is from RNAcentral.